RNAcentral lists this ribosomal RNA (464 nucleotides) under uncultured bacterium. Its description in RNAcentral is "SSU rRNA". It matches the Rfam family "Bacterial small subunit ribosomal RNA", at positions 26 to 518 of the family's 1533-position model. The record is from RNAcentral.
AGGAUUAACGCUGGCGGCGUGCCUAACACAUGCAAGUCGAACGAGGGGGCAACCCCUAGUGGCAGACGGGUGAGUAACACGUGGUCAACCUACCGCUUUGUGGGGGAUAACCAGCCGAAAGGUUGGCUAAUACCGCAUACGUCGGGGCCGGCAUCGGCCUUUGAUAAAAGGAGCAAUCCGCAAGGUGACGGGACCGCGUCCCAUUAGCUAGUUGGUGGGGUAAUGGCCCACCAAGGCUCCGAUGGGUAGCUGGUUUGAGAGAGCGACCAGCCACACUGGAACUGAGAAACGGUCCAGACUCCUACGGGAGGCAGCAGUGAGGAAUUUUCCGCAAUGGGCGAAAAGCCUGACGGAGCGACGCCGCGUGUGGGAAGAAGGCCUUCGGGUCGUAAACCACUGUCGAAGGGGAAGAUAUUGACGGUACCCUUGGAGGAAGCCCCGGCUAACUACGCGCCAGCAGCCGC